UACGGAGGGGGCUAGCGUUGUUCGGAAUUACUGGGCGUAAAGCGCACGUAGGCGGACAGAGAAGUCAGAGGUGAAAUCCCAGGGCUCAACCUUGGAACUGCCUUUGAAACUUUUUGUCUUGAGGUCGAGAGAGGUGAGUGGAAUUCCGAGUGUAGAGGUGAAAUUCGUAGAUAUUCGGAAGAACACCAGUGGCGAAGGCGGCUGACUGGACAUGUAUUGACGCUGAGGUGCGAAAGCGUGGGGAGCAAACAGG
This 253-nucleotide ribosomal RNA is filed under the name uncultured bacterium. Its description in RNAcentral is "partial 16S ribosomal RNA". It matches the Rfam family "Bacterial small subunit ribosomal RNA", at positions 524 to 776 of the family's 1533-position model. The record is from RNAcentral.